GACGAACGCUGGCGGCGUGCUUAACACAUGCAAGUCGAACGGAAAGGCCCUGCUUUUGUGGGGUGCUCGAGUGGCGAACGGGUGAGUAACACGUGAGUAACCUGCCCUUGACUUUGGGAUAACUUCAGGAAACUGUGGCUAAUACCUGAUAGGAGCUCCUGCUGCAUGGUGGGGGUUGGAAAGUUUCGGCGGUUGGGGAUGGACUCGCGGCUUAUCAGCUUGUUGGUGGGGUAGUGGCUUACCAAGGCUUUGACGGGUAGCCGGCCUGAGAGGGUGACCGGCCACAUUGGGACUGAGAUACGGCGCAGACUCCUACGGGAGGCAGUAGGGGGGAAUAUUGCACAAUGGGGGGAAGCCUGAGGCAGCAACGCCGGGUGCGGGAUGAAGGCCUUCGGGUGGUAAACCGCUUUCGCCUGUGACGAAGCGUGAGUGACGGUAAUGGGUAAAGAAGCACCGGCUAACUACGUG
This 468-nucleotide ribosomal RNA is filed under the name uncultured bacterium. Its description in RNAcentral is "partial 16S ribosomal RNA". It matches the Rfam family "Bacterial small subunit ribosomal RNA", at positions 28 to 507 of the family's 1533-position model. The record is from RNAcentral.